RNAcentral lists this ribosomal RNA (253 nucleotides) under uncultured bacterium. RNAcentral describes it as "partial 16S ribosomal RNA". It matches the Rfam family "Bacterial small subunit ribosomal RNA", at positions 524 to 776 of the family's 1533-position model. The record is from RNAcentral.
UACGAAGGGGGCUAGCGUUGCUCGGAAUCACUGGGCGUAAAGCGCGCGCAGGUGGUUCCUUAAGUCUGAUGUGAAAGCCCACGGCUCAACCGUGGAGGGUCAUUGGAAACUGGGGAACUUGAGUGCAGAAGAGGAAAGUGGAAUUCCAAGUGUAGCGGUGAAAUGCGUAGAGAUUUGGAGGAACACCAGUGGCGAAGGCGACUUUCUGGUCUGUAACUGACACUGAGGCGCGAAAGCGUGGGGAGCAAACAGG